AUUGAACGCUGGCGGAAUGCUUUACACAUGCAAGUCGAACGGUAGAGGGGGCAACCCCUCGAGAGUGGCGAACGGAUGAGUAAUAUAUCGGAACGUGCCCAGUCGUGGGGGAUAACGUAGCGAAAGUUACGCUAAUACCGCAUACGAUCUAUGGAUGAAAGCGGGGGAUCGCAAGACCUCGCGCGAUUGGAGCGGCCGAUAUCAGAUUAGGUAGUUGGUGGGGUAAAGGCCCACCAAGCCAACGAUCUGUAGCUGGUCUGAGGGGACGACCAGCCACACUGGAACUGAGACACGGUCCAGACUCCUACGGGAGGCAGCAGUGGGGAAUUUUGGACAAUGGGCGAAAGCCUGAUCCAGCCAUUCCGCGUGCAGGAUGAAGGCCCUCGGGUUGUAAACUGCUUUUGUACAGAACGAAAAGGUUUCUACUAAUACUAGGAGCUCAUGACGGUACUGUAAGAAUAAGCACCGGCUAACUACGUGCCAGCCGCCGCGGUAA
Molecule: ribosomal RNA, 496 nt
Filed under: uncultured bacterium
Lineage: Bacteria
Description: partial 16S ribosomal RNA
Rfam family: Bacterial small subunit ribosomal RNA
Source: RNAcentral